This 416-nucleotide ribosomal RNA is filed under the name Lactobacillus sp. Its description in RNAcentral is "bacterial SSU rRNA". It matches the Rfam family "Bacterial small subunit ribosomal RNA", at positions 388 to 785 of the family's 1533-position model. The record is from RNAcentral. Lineage: Bacteria; Bacillati; Bacillota; Bacilli; Lactobacillales; Lactobacillaceae.
CGAGCAACUGCCGCGUGAGUGAAGAAGGCUUUCGGGUCGUAAAACUCUUUUGUUGGAGAGGAUGGUCUGCAGAGUAACUGUUGGCGGCGUGACGGUAUCCAACCAAAAAGCCACGGCUAACUACGUGCCAGCAGCCGCGGUAAUACGUAGGUGGGUGUCAAGCGUUAUCCGGAUUUAUUGGGCCGACCGUAAAGCGAGCGCAGGCGGUUUUUUAAGUCUGAUGUGAAAUCCCUCGGCUUAACCGUUUAGGAAGUGCAUCGGAAACUGGGAAACUUGAGUGCAGAAGAGGACAGUGGAACUCCAUGUGUAGCGGUGAAAUGCGUAGAUAUAUGGAAGAACACCAGUGGCGAAGGCGGCUGUCUGGUCUGUAACUGACGCUGAGGCUCGAAAGCAUGGGUAGCGAACAGGAUAGAUAC